RNAcentral lists this long non-coding RNA (41412 nucleotides) under Cicer arietinum (chickpea). RNAcentral's name for it is "long non-coding RNA (CARI_LNC002395)". Lineage: Eukaryota; Viridiplantae; Streptophyta; Magnoliopsida; Fabales; Fabaceae. The record is from RNAcentral.
GGUAACUAUUUUCAUGGAAACAAAACUUGCACGAAUGCUUGAUAUUGAGCAUGUUUCUUUCAGUAUAACUUAUGUUUCUUUCAUGGAAAAUUGGGGGAUGCCUCCAAGAAAUAUAAAUGAAUAAUUCUUUUUACUUCUGUACAUAGAUGGUAAUUGUUUAUAGAGCUAUACGAGGUUCUUUUCUCUUACAUCCACAUGAUAUUAGACACUAGUGUUUAAUACAGGAGUAUCUAAGAGAAGUUUGAUAUAAAGUUUCAAUUGAAUGAUGCAACUGCUCAUUUAUGGAAGUUGGAAAAGCUUUUUACUUAGGCAUCUUAGAUUCACACAAGAUACUUGCGAUCUGUGGGAUUGUUUGUUUGGCAUAUACCUUGAAUGACAAUUCUUGUAACCGAGUACCAAAAACAAGCAUCUAGCUCAGUUAUUUAGCUUAUCAGGGAAUCCUAAACAUCUGAAUGAAGUGUUGCUGAAUAUGUUACUGUUUUUUGGUCUUUCUUUGUCAUCCUUUUUUCCCUAACCUAUUAGUAGCCUAAUAUAUCCUGAUUAAUGUUCAAGGUCAUCUUUAACCUCAAUAUAAUUGCAACUUGUCCUCUGAAGACUAGAUUUCUUGUGGUUGUCUAAAUCAGUGCAGCCUAUCAAGACUGAAGUUGAAUGUUUCAAAUUUUCAAUCCUCUGUUGGGCAAUCCCAGCUGAUUGUUUGUAAGGGAUGUAAAUGCAUGAUUAGUUUGCUUUUGAAAAUGAAUUUUUUUCUGCAAUCACUUGCCUGCUCUAGAAGAAGUCACUAUAUUGGACUAACUUUUUUAGAGACUUUGCUCAAUAUUAGAAAUGCAGACAAUAUUUGUGGUUGAUCUUAUUUUUCUGAAAGGGAUAGGAAAUCUUCACUUCAUAUGCAAUUAGCUUAUUUGUAUAUAUUGCCUUAUUGUAUCCUUUUAUUUCCUUAUAGGGAAAGUGAUACGGACAGAGAUGGGAAGGUCAGUUUUAAAUAAUUCUUUUAUGGCCUCUUCGAUUCUGUAAGGUACUAUGAUGAGGAAAGUUACAGUGAUCUACAUCAAUGUGAUGAUUCAAUGGAUGCUUCAGCCAGAGCUUUGUUUUCUCAGCUUGACAAAGAUCGCGACGGGUAUUCACCAUCUUUUUUUAUUCUUUUUCUUUUCCCACAAUUAUUCUACUUGAUUGGAAUCAAUAUUGUAGUUUCCUUAUAGUAUACUAUAAUUUACUUUUGGGUUUUCAUUUUGAAUCUGUGCAGGUCUUUGUCAGAUAUUGAACUACUGCCUAUAAUUGGGAAAUUGCAUCCAUCUGGGCAUUAUUAUGCAAAGAAACAAGCAGAAUAUUUAAUUUCAUUGGUAUAGAAUUUGAACAUUACAAUUAAAACUCUAAUUGUUGACAAAGGUGUCACAUUGCAAUUCAUAUUUUGCAAUGUAGAUGGCUAAAAUAGCUCAACAGGCACUGCAACAUCUGUUGGAUAACAAUAACAUCAUACAUUAGUUUCCUUAUUAACCUUUCUUUCUAUGAUGUUAUGGCAGGCGGAAGUUGACAAAGAUGGGCGCCUCAAUUUGACUGAGAUGAUUGAGAAUGCAUAUAUAUUCUAUGAUGUUAUUUUCUACGAUGAUGAAGUUGAAUAUGAUGAUUCCCCUGACGAGUUCUUUUAAGUUCUUUUCAGUUUAUGUUAGGUAAGUACAGUUAUUUUGUUGUCUUUUUAAACCUACAUUCAGUGAUGAUUUUUCGUUGUAAUAUUUUGUGAUCAUCAAUUGCAGGAUGCACAGAAAAGUUUGGGGCAAUAUCACAGACAAAGAGUCAGUAUUUGAAGAACAUAAAUAGAGUUAUAAAUUUACAUAGCAAGUUAAAUACAAAAUAUUAAAAUUAUACAGAUGAGCAGAAAAAAAAUUGGCUACGGUUUCUGUUUUUGUUUAAUAGAAGGUAAAUUUUAGGUUGUGUUUGAAAAAUUGUAUAUAAGAUAUCUAGAAUUUUUUAAAUGCAACCUAGACCUCACCUUUUAAUAGAAAGAUAGUUCCGACUGAUAUAUGAGACUCUUAAAUGAUGUACACGGUGGCUUUGCCACAUUGAUAUCUGAUUUGUGAAUUGUAAUAGUUUUACUUUUUAUAUAUCAUCACUGUUAUAGUUGAAAUGAAUUAAUUUUGCGUUAUAUAUAAUCACAGUUGCAGGGGAUGCACGUUACAUAACUUUAAAUGAAUAUAUAACUAAUCCAUUAUUCACCUGAAGUAAUUUUUCAAAAUAGGAAGAAAUCAGAAUAAUGGGACUGAGGGAGAGAGAAAAAGUCAUUAAAAGAAUAUUCUAAUUGUGAUUUUGACAUGUAAAAGAAUAAUCAAACACUGCCAAUUUAUUAUUAUAUAGAUUGCAUUUCCAUGUGUAAAAAGUACAAAGAAGGGUAUCAAUCUUGUAGUUGAGAUGUUCUUCAUUUCUCUAAUAUAGAAUAUUAUUACUGUAACUUUUUGUUUAUAAAGUUGAUAAAUAUUUAAUUUAAAAUAUAUGUUCUAAAACUAUGUAUAAUUAUACAAAAUUAUAAUAAAGUAAAAAAUAGAGUGAACAAAAAAUAGAGAAAAUCUCGACUUGAAUUUUAGUAGAUAGAUAAUUUGAUUUAAUUAGAAAAAUCUGAGAGUGAAAGUAUGUAAGUAAAGAAUAGGGUAAUAUAUAUCUUUGAAGUUUGAAGCCUUUUCUAAUUUUAAGAAUUAAUUUCAGUUUUUAGCUCUCUAUAUUUUUAAAUAUAUUUUCUCUAUUUAUAAUUAUAAUUUUUUUUUGUUUAAUAUAAAUAAAAAUUAAUUAAAAAAUUAAUAUUUUAUCUUUAAUUUUGAAUCAAAUAAUAAAUUUUUAAAACUUAUUUUUACUAAUAUAUUUUGAAAUGAAAUAAUAGACAUUAACAAUUUCUUUAAAAAAAAUAUCCACGAUUCAUUUAUCAGUAAAAAAUAUAAAUCUGUUUCUGUUAUGUAAAUUUUAUUUUUUUUGGAAAAGUUUUACUACAACUAUUUGUUUAAAUAUUAUAAAAUAUAUUGAAGAGUGUUAUAAUAAAUAAUAGAUAAAGUAUAUACUUAGAUUCACCAAUUCAAAUCACUUUAAACCUUGGACUGCUUAAGCUAGUAGGUCUUUGAGUCUAGUAAUGUAGUAGACCACAAAGUUAACUUUUUAUUGAUGAAUGAAUCAUACCACUAAAAAGGGUUAUGUUCAAUGUAUUUGACGACAUUGACCUCCUAAAAUUCCAUGUUUUUCAAAUUAAUUUUUUUAAUUACUCUCUCCUUUAAAAUAUAAAUAAAAAAGUGAAUGUAUUUAGUUUUAUAUUUUGGGUUGAUAUAAGAUAUUUCCUUUUUAUUUAUAUUUUGAAUGAUUUAAGACUAAACACUUUCACAUUUUUAAUUAUAUUUUAAGCCAAAAAUAUUAAUGUUUAAUAACAAUUUAAUUUCUCUAAUAAGACAACACAAAACAUUACUAAAUAGACCACUUCAAUAACUUUAUAUUAUUAUAUUUUAAUAAUAUUUAUUUAUUUUAAUAUUUUUAUGAUUUAUUGUAUGAAAUUCAUAUAAAGUAAAAAAGAAAAUUGUACUUCUAUAGUCACAAAAAGUAAAAUUAUUAUCCACAGUAGAUGUGCAUAUUUAACUUUUGCUAAAUAGGUGAAUCACAUGCAAUUGUGAUUGUCUUUGGUUCGGUUGUGAAGACCGGUAGUACAAUUGUUUGACUAUUAUCAACCGACCAUGUCAAUUGUUUGACAAUAUCAAAAGGACAUGGAAAGUGUGACAGCUCUUUAGCACUAUUAGUUCUUUAUUCAAUUAUAAGAAGAAGAAAAAAAAUAAUUAUACAUUUUUAAAAAAUAUUGAUUCAUUGUAUUUAAUUUUGUUAUGUUAUAAAAAAUUAAAUUUUUUAUACUAUCAAUACUUUUCAUUUAAUUUUGUAUGAGAAAUUGUUAUAUUAAAAAAUAUUUUAAUAAUAGUUGUUGGUAAAUGACAACAUUUUGAAAAGCCUAAGAUGUCUAGUUUAUAAAUAUAAUGCUUAUUAUGCGUAAUAGACAUUCAAUUAGUACAAUUUAAUAAAAUAAAGUAUACAUAUACAAAAAUAUAACAAUAGAUUAUUUUCCAACUUGGAACUCAAUUUUCUCUACCAAUUCUCAAUGAAAAUUGGUGAAACCAGUACCUAUUUCAUAGGUAAUUAAGUAUAUUUUCUAAUAGGAUAGAAAUCAACUCAAAAUACUAUAUAUGGAGAAAGUUAUAAACAAAAUACCAAAUAUAUACUUAUAUGGGUUCGAAGACAACACCAUACUAUUUUCACUUCAAAAUUUAUAUUUUCAAGUUAAUAUGAUGAACUAAGUAAAAUAUAUUCAAAAUUCAGCAUAAAAUCAAGUAAUUACCAAUACUAAACAGUCACCAUCUCAUCACAAACUCAACCACAACACUCAAUAGCAAUAAUAAAACAACAACUCUUCAUAGUAAUUAAUACAAACACCUAACAUGCAUUAUUAAUAAUCAAUGAUACAAAAUUAAAUAUGACUAUCUCAAUACCCAAACAUGCAAAACAUGAUCUCUAAGCACACCUAAGAGAGGUUUUAAGAGAGUUUUCUAUGUUACCUUAGGAAGAGAUUUGAGACCUCCAAAGUUUGAUUCUAAUUCCUUCUUCUACAAGUAAAACUUUAACUCCUCUUCACGUUUCCAUCUUCCUUCUCAACAUGCAAGAAAUUCUAAACUUCUUCUCCUAUAUUGAAACCUUAACUUUCCUUUUCUUCUUUUACUCUAAUAUAGGUGUGAGGGUGUUUCUAUGAGGAGAUGAUGAAAUGAGGGAGCUUGAGAAGGACAUGCAAUGGAGUUAGUGUGCUCUCUCUUGUUUUUUUUUCUCCUCUCUUCUUCUUUCCUCUUUUCCGUUAUUUCAUCUUUUCUCUCUCUUUUUUUUCUCUUCAUUUUCCAUGAUAUGUUACGGUUUUAGUUCUCUCAUUCAUCCCUCUUUCUUUCUUUCAUUAUUUAUUUAUUAUUAUUAUUAUUUAACAAUUGGGUUUUAAAUAAAGGGGAGUGUGAUGGGAAUUGUCAAUUACUCCCCUCCAAAUCCUUACAAAUGACAAGUUUUAUUUUAACUACAAAAUGGGCUACUAGAAGUUGAAUUUGAAAUUUCUAUUGAGUUUAUUUCUAAUUUAUUCUCCAACAAUAAUAAACACAUUAAUAUGAACUUCCUAAACUAAACUUCACUUGAUUAACUAAAAAUCAUUUUUUGAUUAAAUAAGAUCUAAGAGAUUUGUAUAAACAUAUGAAUUACGACAAUAAAAUAUAAAUAAUAGAAUUAUUAGUAUAAAUAAGAAUAAAUGGAAUAUACAAUUUUUGGGGUGUUACAUAAAUAGACCAACUACGAUUUAUGAAUCUUAAUUUCGAAUACCUAACAAUUUAUUUUUGGGGUGUAACAUCCUAUUUUAUUUUUUUUUAUUUUUUUUUUUAUUUUUUAUUUCAAACCAAAUAUAUAAUUUUCCAUCUGAUUCCAAACAAACAAAUAAAUAAUCCAUUGUUAAAUUAAAAUCCAUCAGUAUUUCAAUUAGAUACUUAAUACUCAAAUUGUAAGGUUCAGAAAUGUAGUAAUAAAAUGAGAAUUGGCAUAGACUAGAGUUCAACAUAAAUAAAUUUCCUAAAGCUGACCACUACUACUCCUAGAAUUAAAUGAGAUGUUCCAUCUAUUCUUCUGAAAACUUUCUCGAUUGUGCAAGUAGAUUAGGAAUGUCAUCUGUCCAAAAGUAAGGGUUAUCUCCAAAAUUAUUACCAAUAAAUAAUAAAUAAAUAACAAUAAAUAAAACAGUACAAUACCCACAUAAUUAAUGGCAUUAUUCCAUUCAAAUUUCCAUACAUACGGUAACAAUUAAAGAUAACAGAACAAUGUUUACGUAAUUAAUAAUAUUAGUUCAUCCAAAACAACAACCAGGAAGUACACUUAAAAUACAAAUAUAUUAUUAUGAUAUCUGUAUAAUUAAUAAUAAUCGUUACUCCAUACAAACAACCGAGUUCAGAUCUCCUCCAUUUUUAGCCUCCAUUUCUUGUCAAGUUUGUUCUUUAGAUGAGUGACACGUGGCAACUAAAAUUUCAAUGGUUGAGAUUUUAUCAAAUACAAAAAAUCUCUUUUAAUUAAUUAAAAUAAAACCAUAAAAACACAUCAGAAACAUCAAACCCCUUUUUCUUCCUCCCUUUGUUGCCCCUCCUAUCGCACUUCCUCCCUUCGUCUCCCCUCCCAUCGCACGUUCACCUUUCGUCCUCGUGUGGCUUGUCUCUCUGUCUCUUCGCCGUGCCGGCGUCGCUCCAUUGUCGUAUCGCUGCAACAUUCUGCACUGCUACAUCACCGUCGCACCGUUGCAGCACCGCCGCUCCACUGAAAUAUUACUACAGGUCUUUGUUUAAAUAAUUUCUUCUCUUUUGAUCUUACAAAUUCUUAUUAAUUUUGCCAAAUCUUUUACAACUAUUUUAUCAUGUCUUUUUUAUUUUGCCAAAACUUUUACAAGUUCUUGCUAAUGUUUUCAAAGACAAUAUGUUGUUGCCAUGAAAAUAGAAAGGAACUUUGAUUCAAUCAAAUUGAUUUUGUACUGGAAUUGAGAAAUUUGGUUCUGUACUGAAAUUUCGUCGCCUCUCUAUCUCUUCGUCGUGCCGGCGUCGCUCCACCGCAACACCACCACACAGUUGCAGCACCACCGCAGCACUGCCACACAGUUGCAACACCACCGCUCCACUGCAAUAUUACUACAGGUGUUUGUUCAAAUAAUCUCUUCUCUUUUGAUCUUACAAGUCAUUGUUGUUGAUUUUGUCGAAACUUUUACGAUCUUUUUAUCGUGUCUUUUGUAUUUCUAUAGUUCUUCCCUUGUGGUUCUCAUUACAUCAACAUAUUUACAAAAUAAUAUUAAUAGGAUAACUCCAUUCAUUCUCAGAGAACAUGAAUCCAUCAUCAAAUCCACUAGUUGACUGUGUAGAUAAAUGAGUGAACAAUAUCCAUGACAAAAUUGUGCCAGAAAGUAAUGACAAUAGCCAACCACACAUGGAAAUGAAGUUUGAAUCUGAGGCGACGACUUAUGAAUUUUAUAAUGAAUACAGUAAAAGAAUUGGAUUUGGUAUUCGUCGAGAAUAUGCAAAUAAAAGCAAAAAAGACGGGAUUUUGACUUCGAGAAGAUUCACAUGCUUCCAAGAGGGUAUUCGAGGUGUUGACAAACGAGGUCACCCAGUAGGGGAGCAUAGAGCAGAAACUAGAAUAGGAUGUAAAGCAUGUAUGGUUAUUUCACUUGAUCAGAAGAUUGGGAAAUAUAAAGUUGUUGACUUUGUAGCUCAACAUAACCACCCUCUUCAACCGCCAGAGUAUGUUCAUAUGAUUCGUUCUCAUCGACACAUAUCUGAGGUACAAGCAUCACAAAUCAUAUUGGCAGAUGAGUCUGGAUUGAGACCAAAAGAUUUUCAUGAAUAUAUGUCAAAGCAAGUCGGUGGAAUAGAGACUGUUGGUUUUACAAGACAAGACCUUAAGAAUUAUCUUCGAACCAAAAGGAAGCAAUCACUAAAGUAUGGUGACGUGGGUGCAUUAUUAAUGUAUUUCAAACAAGAAAGUGAAAAUCCCUCAUUCUUUUAUGAAUUUCAAAUGGAUGUUGAUGAACAAAUAACAAAUAUAUUUUGGGCAGAUGCACAAAUGAUAAAUGAUUAUGUGCUAUAUGAUGAAACGAUUCCUUCUUUUCAGUGGCUAUUUGAAACGUUUCUCAAAGCAAUGGGUGGAGAAAAGCCAAAAACCAUUCUAACAGAUCAAGAUGCUGCAAUGGCUAAGGCUAUUUCUUUAGUUGUGCCAGAAACAUUUCAUGGAUUGUGCACUUGGCAUAUAAGACAAAAUGCUCUAAAGCAUGUAAAUCAUCUAUAUCAAAAGAGUUCACAAUUUUGCUUAGAGUUUGAAGCAUGCAUAGAUCUACACGAAGAAGAGGCUGAAUUUUUGAAUGCAUGGAAUUCUUUACUUGUUGAGCAUAAUGUUUCAAAAGAUUCGUGGCUACAUAUGAUUUUUCAAUUGAAGGCAAAAUGGUCAUGGGCUUAUGUUCGGAAAACAUUCAUUGCAGGUAUGAGAUCUACUCAAUUAAGUGAGAGCUUUAAUGCUGACUUGAAAAACCAUUUGAAAUCAGAUUUAAAUUUAGUACAAUUUUUUACACACUUUAAAAGGGUUGUAAAUGGAAAACGAAACAAUGAGUCAGAAGCUGAUUUUGAGUCAAGACAUAAACUACCUAGAUUGAAAAUGAAGAAGGCUCGUAUGCUUGUACAAGCCGGAAAUGUUUACACUCCAAAAAUAUUUGAGGAAUUUCAAGAGGAAUAUGAGGAAUAUCAAGACACUUGCAUAAAGAAUUUGAAAGAAGGUUUGUAUGUUGUUACAAAUUAUGAUAACACAAAAGAGAGGAUGGUAAUGGGAAAUCCUAUGGAUCAAAAAGUUGCUUGUGAUUGUCGUAAAUUUGAGACACAUGGCAUCUUAUGCAAUCAUGCUUUGAAAGUUUUAGAUGCCAUGAAUAUUAAGUUAAUUCCCCAACAUUAUAUAUUAAAGCGAUGGACAAGAGAUGCAAGGUUGGGAAGUAACCAAGAUUGGAAAGUGAAACAUGUUGAAUUGGACAUAAAAGCCCAUUUCAUGAAGCGAUACAAUGAAUUAUGUCCUCGAAUGAUUAAAUUGACCAACAGAGCUUCAGAAUCUCAUGAAAGUUACGUAUUUUUGUCCAAAGUUUAUGAAGAGUCCAAUAAAAUAAUUGAUGAUAUGUUGGCAAAAAUUUAUGUGAAUGAGGAAUCAAGUAGAAUGAUUCAUGUAUCCAUAUCAAUUGCAAAUGAUGAAAUUGACAACAACUUGGAGACUCUUGGUUGUGCAAAAGGCAUAAAGAAGCGAGAUUGUUCACAUCAGAAUAAAAAACGACCUAAGUCUUGGGUUGAGAAAUUAGCUAGGAAGAGAAAUAGAUACUCACAAAAAAAAAAGAAUCGCAAGAAAAUUUAGUGCAAUUGUUACCGGUAAGUUUUUCAUCAAUGUAUUCAAUUUUUUUAACAAUAUUCUUUAUCUGACUUCUCUUAUAAUGUGCAGCAACCAUUAGAUAGGAACCAAUUUUUAAGUGAAGUUGACACUAGAAUUCAACAUCAAGCUACAACUCAAAUGACACAAUCAACCCAAGUUGAUAAUGGAAUUCAACAUCAAGCUACAACUCAAAUGACACAAUCAAGACAAUCAAGCCAAGUUGAUAAUGGAAUUCAAUAUCAAGCUACAACUCAAAUGACACAAUCAAGACAAUCAAGCCAAGUUGAUAAUGGAAUUCAACAUUAAGCUACAACUCAAAUGACACAAUCAAGACAAUCAAGCCAAGUUGACAAUGGAAUUCAACAUCAAACUACAACUCAAAUAACUCAAUUAAGUCAAGUUGACGCAUUAAGACUUCACAAUUUCUUUUAAACAAUUUUUAUGAGACUUUUGUUAGGCGGCAUGUUCUAUACAUUAAUAUUUUGUUAUGAGGCAAUUUUAUGUUCAAUCACUUGGUGUUAGUUUGAACAAUCUUGUGUUAUGCAGUACAAAACUCUGAAAUAUCAUAGUUAAAGGAAUAUUAAUUUCAAAUUUCAAUUACAAUUGUUAACAUAAAUUAUGCAAUUACAAACUAGUUAGUUGCUAGCUAGUUGCUGCUUGCUAUUACAAACUUUUGAGCUAGUUGUUGCUUGCUAUUACAAACUAGUUGUUGUUUGCUAUUACAAAUUUUGAGUGAAUAGGAGCUUCAAACCAGCCUUUGAUGGCAAACCAAAGUAUUUCUCUUUUAAAACCACAUCAUUUUGGCAAUUCAUUCCUCGAGGAGAGUUGCUGCACUGUCUCACAUCUCAACCCCUGCAGCACAAUUAAAUAAAUAAAUAUCCUUUCCAUGGAUUUUCCAAGUUAAGGAUGUGAUUUUCCUCCACCAUUGAGCUUUGGAUAUGAAUCCACCAAUUUGAAUUCACCAGGCAUUCUUCAAGCCAUUCCAGAGACAAGGCAGCAUAUGAAAUCCUUUUAAAAAUCCCAACUUGUUGUUUCAUGCUUCCUAAUUCUCUUAUUGGUGAGAAAACAGUGUCAUUAAGAACCAAUUUCAAAAGCAUCAUCAUUUCAAACAAAGCACAUAAAGGAAUAUUAAUUUCAAAUUUCAAUUACAAUUGUUAACAUAAAAUGUGCCAUACAAUUGUCUAUAUUAAAUUGUGCAAUACAAAAUCAAGUUUCUAAACUAGUUCAAUCCUCUAGUGAAGCCUAUUUUCUCAAAUUUGGAGACAAAAUAAGCAAGAUCAGCUUAUGUGAGCCAAGAGGGCAAGGUGUCAAGGAUGUUUGGAUUAAUUCCAAUUCCAUACUCUCCCUUUGGAAAUUAUAGAGGACCAAUUUUUCAAGUUAUGAUAUUUUUCAUCACAUAUGCAGUGCCAACCUCAACUGUUUCAGUUUUCCAAAUUGUUAUGAUAUUGUUCCUGUCACACAGAUAAAAAACAAUUAAGAUAUUAAGAACUACCAUUAUAGUAAUUUCUCACUUCAUUUCACCAACUUAACCAUAUCUUUUAAACCAAAAUGAUUUCUUGUGAAUGAAACUGUGACAGUUCACAAAUUUUCAAUUUGAUCUGUUAAUUACUGAUCACAAUUUAAUUAGAUUUUUUUGGUGUGAUUAGGUCUUUAAUUUUUUCCAAACAGAUUGAAUCAAAAUGCUACAAAUUGGUUGAAACAAAGAACCUGUAAAAAUAAAAAUGAUAGUGUGGCAGGUCAUGGCAGCGAAGGCGUGGCAGCGAAGGUGAGACAACGAGAACAAAGACCUGUAGCGGUGCUGUAACGGUGCAGCGGUGAGCGGUGCGGUGUGUUGCAGCAGUACGGCAGUAUUGCAGUGGAGCAGCAGCGGUGUGGUGGUGCUAUGCAGUGGAGCAGCGGUGUGGUGGUACUAUGCAGUGGUGCGGUGGUGCUGUACCUGCGAUAGGAGGGGCAGCGAAGGGAGGAAGAAAAAGGAGUUUUAUGUUUCUGAUGUGUUUUUAUGGUUUUAUUUUAAUUAAUUAAAACAGAUUUUUUGUAUUUGAUAAAAUCUCAACCAUUGAAAUUUUAGUUGCAACGUGUCACUCAUCUAAAGAACAAACUUGACAAGAAAUGGAGGCUAAAAAAUGGAGGAGUUCUGAACUCACAAACAACCUUACAAUAGAAUACCAUAAUAUCUACAUCAUUAAUAACAUUAAUUCACUCAAACAAUUAAGAAUCAAGAGGUACAGUAAUAAAAACAAGUACAAUAUCACAUAUUAAUUCACCCCAAACUAAUAACAAGUACAUUUAUGAGCAUAAUAUCCACAUCAUUUAUUAUUAACAUUGCCUCAUCCAAACGAACAAAUACAAUCGUAUACAGAUUUAUCAGUACAAUAUAUACCCCGUUAAUAACAUUAUUUCAACCAAUUAUCAGGAGAUACAAUGUAUCAUUUAUCUGUAUAAAACAUUAAUCACACUUAAUUCAAUGCAUACUCAAACAGACCUUAUGCCUUAAUCUAUAUGCCAAUGUAAUGAUUUCGGAAUAUCGCCUCCCCCACAAGGGCUUUCGUGGGUCCUUCCAAGCAACACCACUAACUCUAAAUCCCCGCAAUGAUAUGUGGGCUCCAACCAAUUAUGGACGCACCACCACCAAUUAUGAAUGAAUGCAUGAAUAUGAAUGCGUGAAUGUGGACACUUUAAUAUAUCAUCAAUAUAAUGUGAUGCUAACUUAUUAAUGACAUUUCACGUAUAACAUUUAUCAUUCACACCUUGAAAAUGUUCAAUACAACCAUUAUAACAACGUAUCACAUUAUUUGUAUUCCUUACACUUUGAAUAUGUUCAACACAACCAUGAAUAUAACAUGUCACACCAUAUUUAUUUUCCAAAUUUUGAUAAAAGCAAUUCAACAUAGUAUAUAUUCAAUCUCACAAUUCUAAAAUAAUUACAAUCACACAUUCCAAAAUAAAUGCAAUCAUACAUUCCAAAAUAAAUACAAUCAUACUAUAAAUAUAUAAUUGGAGUGAUACCCUUACCGAUAUGAGUGUCGUGAUUAAAUUCUCACGCAGCGGUCUUUUUGCUCCAAUUGCACUACACUUGAUGAGAUGAAUUACCAACUCCUUCUUGAAUUCCUUCCUUUUCUAUCUUAAACUCUUUUUGCUACAUCGCACAACGUUUUUUUGAAUGGAAGACGUCCCUUUUGUUUUUUUUUUAUCGUUAAGCUGUGGGAACGUUAAGGUAUGAGUGGGGAACGUUAAGCCAAAAGUGGGGAACGUGGCAUUUCCACCCAAGCCAUGAAACAAUUUUACGGUUGCUUCUAUUAUUAUUAUUAUUAUUAUUAUUAUUAUUAUUAUUAUUAUUAUUAUUAUUAUUAUUAUUAUUAUUAUUAUUAUUAUUAUUAUUAUUAUUAUCAUCAAAAUUAAAAUAAUAUCGUCAGCAAUUCUUUCUAUUCCCAAAAAUAAAUAUAAAAAUAAGAUAAAAUGAUUGGGCGUUACAUUCCUCGUACCUUAAAUAGUUUCGUCCUCGAAACCGGCUUCGGAGAAAAGUUUUGGGUAUUGCUCCUUCAUUUUGUCUUCUAGUUCCCAAGUGGUGUCUCCAGUGGCUUGAUUCCAAACUACUUUCACCAAAGGAAUUUCUUUGUUGCGAAGCAACUUGACUUUUCUAUCUUCAAUUAUUGCCGGAGAUACUUCAAAAGAUAAAUCCUCCUUCAGCUGCACUACAUCCGACUCAAUGACAUGUGAUGGAUUAGGGACAUACUUCCGUAACUGAGAAACAUGGAACACAUCAUGAAUGUGGGAAAGAAUAGGUGGUAACGCAACUUUAUAUGCUACAAGUCCGAUUCUUUUGAGGAUUUGGUAAGGUCCAAUGAACUUUGGUAUGAGUUUCUUUGACUUGAUAGCCCUACCAACUCCUGUAGUAGGUGUCACACGAAGGAACACAUGUUCGCCUUCUUCAAAUUCUAAGGGCCUACGACGUGUGUCAGCAUAACUUUUUUGGCGACUUUGGGAAGUCCUCAUUCUUUCUCUAAUUUUCCUGAUCUUUUCUGUGGUCUGAUGCACCAUUUCAGGCCCCACUAUAGUAUUCUCACCAUCAUGAUACCAACAAAGUGGUGUCUGACAUUUCCGUCCAUAAAGAGCUUCGUAUGGUGCCAUCCCAAUGCUUGCAUGAAAACUAUUAUUGUAAGUGAAUUCUACUAANNNNNNNNNNNNNNNNNNNNNNNNNNNNNNNNNNNNNNNNNNNNNNNNNNNNNNNNNNNNNNNNNNNNNNNNNNNNNNNNNNNNNNNNNNNNNNNNNNNNNNNNNNNNNNNNNNNNNNNNNNNNNNNNNNNNNNNNNNNNNNNNNNNNNNNNNNNNNNNNNNNNNNNNNNNNNNNNNNNNNNNNNNNNNNNNNNNNNNNNNNNNNNNNNNNNNNNNNNNNNNNNNNNNNNNNNNNNNNNNNNNNNNNNNNNNNNNNNNNNNNNNNNNNNNNNNNNNNNNNNNNNNNNNNNNNNNNNNNNNNNNNNNNNNNNNNNNNNNNNNNNNNNNNNNNNNNNNNNNNNNNNNNNNNNNNNNNNNNNNNNNNNNNNNNNNNNNNNNNNNNNNNNNNNNNNNNNNNNNNNNNNNNNNNNNNNNNNNNNNNNNNNNNNNNNNACUUUAGCCUUCUGGCAUGUCAGGCAAGCCGUCACAAACUCGACCACCCGUUUCUUCAUUCCAGGCCACCAAUAGUUUUGCUUCAAAUCUUGGUACAUCUUGGUCACCCCUGGAUGAAAACUCAGUUUACUCUUGUGUGCCUCCUCAAGAAUAAUCUAUUUUAUCCUGUCCACUGUCGGGAUGCAAAUGCGCCCGUUGCAGCGCAUAAUAUUGUCUGGCCCCACUUUGAAUUUUGGUGCCUUCCCUUGCACAAUCAAGUGUCUCUUCUGCUGAAGUAGUUCGUCGUCGAAUUGGUGUUUCUAAAUGUCCUCAAUUAGCCCAUUAGAGAUGGUUAUCAUGCUAAAUUUUAAUUCUCCUGGUGCGAACUCCACAUUCAAGUUAAGAUCACGAAACUUCUCUAGUAAUUCUUGUUCUUUUACCAUUAAGGAUGAUACAAGUAUAUUUUGUCUACUUAAGGCAUCUGCAACUACGUUGGCCUUUCCCGGGUGGUAUUGCAAUUUAAAGUCGUAAUCCUUCAAGGUUUCCAUCCACCUUCUUUGCCUCAUAUUGAGCUCUUUUUGAUCGAACAGGUAUUGCAAGCUUUUAUGGUCACUAAAAAUUGUAAAUGUACUUCCAUACAAGUGGUGUCUCCAAAUUUUUAGGGAAAACAUUAUCGCAGCCAGUUCCAAAUCAUGUGUGGGAUAGUUCCUUUCAUGUAUUUUUAGUUGUCGUGACGCAUAGGCUACUGCUUUCUUAUUCUGCAUGAGGACACUUCCCAAUCCUUGAUGAGAGGCAUCACAAUAAACUUCGUAGGGUUCGUCUAGUUGUGGCAAAGUUAGUACCGGGGAGGUCGUCAAACGUUCAUUUAAUAAUUUAAAACUCGCCUCACACUCUUCUGUCCACGCAAAUGGUUGAUCCUUUCUUGUAAGUUGGGUCAGUGGGGAUACAAUCCUAGCAAAACCUUCAAUAAAUCUUCGGUAAUAGCCAGCUAAUCCAACAAAGCUUUUAAUGUAUGUAACAGUCUUUGGCUGCUUCCAAUCUACAAUGGCCUUUACCUUGCCUGGGUCGACAUCAAUUCCUUCAUUUGAGAUCACAUGCCCUAGAAAAAUAACUUAGAAAAUUAACUUCCUCCAACCAAAAUUCACACUUCGCUUGGUUGGCAUACAAUUGUUUCUCUCGCAACACUGAUAGAACUUGUCGUAAUUGUUCCUCAUGCUCCUCUCGACUUUUAGAAUAAAUGAGAAUGUCAUCUAUAAAUACCACUACGAAUUUAUCCAAAAAUGGAUGGAAGAUACGAUUCAUGUAGUCCAUAAAUAUUGCGGGUGCAUUAGUCACUCCGAAUGGCAUUACAAGAUACUCGUAAUGUCCGUAACGAGUCCGAAAUGCAGUCUUGGGAAUGUCUUCUGCCUUAACUCGUAUUUGGUGAUACCCAGAUUUCAAAUCUAUCUUGGAGAACACUACAUCCCCUCGGAGUUGAUCUAUAAGGUCAUCGAUGCGCGGCAAUGGAUAUCAGUUCUUGAUAGUGGCCUUGUUGAGUUGCCUGUAAUCUAGACAAAGUCGUGAAUGUCCGUCCUUUUUCUUUACUAACAAGACAGGAGCUCCCCACGGUGAAACACUAGGUCGAAUAAAUUGUUUUGACAUUAAUUCUUCCAAUUGUUCUUUAAGUUCAGUUAGUUCGGAAGGCGACAUCCGAUAUGGUGCAAUUGAGAUGGGUCCAGUACCUGGGUGUAAGUCAAUAGAAAACUCAGUCUCUCGCACUGGCGNNNNNNNNNNNNNNNNNNNNNNNNNNNNNNNNNNNNNNNNNNNNNNNNNNNNNNNNNNNNNNNNNNNNNNNNNNNNNNNNNNNNNNNNNNNNNNNNNNNNNNNNNNNNNNNNNNNNNNNNNNNNNNNNNNNNNNNNNNNNNNNNNNNNNNNNNNNNNNNNNNNNNNNNNNNNNNNNNNNNNNNNNNNNNNNNNNNNNNNNNNNNNNNNNNNNNNNNNNNNNNNNNNNNNNNNNNNNNNNNNNNNNNNNNNNNNNNNNNNNNNNNNNNNNNNNNNNNNNNNNNNNNNNNNNNNNNNNNNNNNNNNNNNNNNNNNNNNNNNNNNNNNNNNNNNNNNNNNNNNNNNNNNNNNNNNNNNNNNNNNNNNNNNNNNNNNNNNNNNNNNNNNNNNNNNNNNNNNNNNNNNNNNNNNNNNNNNNNNNNNNNNNNNNNNNNNNNNNNNNNNNNNNNNNNNNNNNNNNNNNNNNNNNNNNNNNNNNNNNNNNNNNNNNNNNNNNNNNNNNNNNNNNNNNNNNNNNNNNNNNNNNNNNNNNNNNNNNNNNNNNNNNNNNNNNNNNNNNNNNNNNNNNNNNNNNNNNNNNNNNNNNNNNNNNNNNNNNNNNNNNNNNNNNNNNNNNNNNNNNNNNNNNNNNNNNNNNNNNNNNNNNNNNNNNNNNNNNNNNNNNNNNNNNNNNNNNNNNNNNNNNNNNNNNNNNNNNNNNNNNNNNNNNNNNNNNNNNNNNNNNNNNNNNNNNNNNNNNNNNNNNNNNNNNNNNNNNNNNNNUUCACACAGUCCAUAGAGAUAAAUGAAUGUGUUGCACCAGAGUCAAAAAGGACGGUUAGAAUAUUACAUGAGAUUUCACACUCCCAUUGGAAGGAUUCAUUCGGGCGAGACGUCCCUUGACCAUUUAUAUUGUAAACUCGUCCUUGAGCUGUUGGGCGUGUGACUUCAGUCGCAUGCAGUGAGGCUUAUGCCUUUGAUUCCUUGCAAUCCCUGGCUAGAUGCUCGGGCUUCUGGCAUUUAAAACAUACAUUGUCGUUGAGAGUGCACUUAUUCGCAAGGUGUCUUGGGUCUCCACAACGAUAACAGUAUGGCUUUGAUUCUGAAGUCCUCUGUCUAUCAUCUGAAAUGGAGGUCAUUGGACGAUAUGUUCCCUUAUCUGACCCUUGGGGAUGACGAUAUGGAUUUUGAUCUGGUCUACUACGACCCUGGUUCUGAUUACUCGGUCGUGUUGGUCCCCCGUGGUUACCAGUACCCCCACGAUUUAGCCUGCGGUUCUUCAUAGCCUCUACCUCUCUGCACUUUUCCACUAGGGGUUGGAAUCGCGUGAUUCCCAGAGGUAGUACCGAAUCUUGAAUUUCAUACUUCAAUCCAUCUUGAAAACGGUGACACAUAAAGUCUUCAUCAAUGGUCUGACGAAAAAACUUGAAGUAUCGCGAUAAGGAUUCAANNNNNNNNNNNNNNNNNNNNNNNNNNNNNNNNNNNNNNNNNNNNNNNNNNNNNNNNNNNNNNNNNNNNNNNNNNNNNNNNNNNNNNNNNNNNNNNNNNNNNNNNNNNNNNNNNNNNNNNNNNNNNNNNNNNNNNNNNNNNNNNNNNNNNNNNNNNNNNNNNNNNNNNNNNNNNNNNNNNNNNNNNNNNNNNNNNNNNNNNNNNNNNNNNNNNNNNNNNNNNNNNNNNNNNNNNNNNNNNNNNNNNNNNNNNNNNNNNNNNNNNNNNNNNNNNNNNNNNNNNNNNNNNNNNNNNNNNNNNNNNNNNNNNNNNNNNNNNNNNNNNNNNNNNNNNNNNNNNNNNNNNNNNNNNNNNNNNNNNNNNNNNNNNNNNNNNNNNNNNNNNNNNNNNNNNNNNNNNNNNNNNNNNNNNNNNNNNNNNNNNNNNNNNNNNNNNNNNNNNNNNNNNNNNNNNNNNNNNNNNNNNNNNNNNNNNNNNNNNNNNNNNNNNNNNNNNNNNNNNAUUGGUCAGCUUACACCUAACUCACAGUCCAAUCAAGAUCGAACUGCUCUGAUACCAAAUUGUAACAUCCUAUUUUAUUUUUUAUUUUUUUAUUUUUUAUUUCAAACCAAAUAUAUAAUUUCUCAUGUGAUUCCAAACAAACAAAUAAAUAAUCCAUUGUUAAAUUAAAAUCCAUCAGUAUUUCAAUUAGAUACGUAAUACUCAAAUUGUAAGGUUCAGAAAUGUAGUAAUAAAAUGAGAAUUGGCAUAGACUAGAGUUCAACAUAAAUAAAUUUCCUAAAGCUGACCACUACUACUACUAGAAUUAAAUGAGAUGUUCCAUCUAUUCUUCUGAAAACUUUCCCGAUUGUGCAAGUAGAUUAGGAAUGUCAUCUGUCCAAAAGUAAGGAUUAUCUCCAAAAUUCUUACCAAUAAAUAAUAAAUAAAUAACAAUAAAUAAAACAGUACAAUACACACAUAAUUAAUGGCAUUAUUCCAUUCAAAUUGCCAUACAUACGGUAACAAUUAAAGAUAACAGGACAAUGUUUACGUAAUUAAUAAUAUUAGUUCAUCCAAAACAACAACCAGAAAGUACACUUAAAAUACAAAUAUAUUAUUAUGAUAUCUGUAUAAUUAAUAAUAAUCGUUACUCCAUACAAACAACCUUACAAUAGAAUACCACAAUAUCUACAUCAUUAAUAACAUUAAUUCAGUCAGACAAUUAGGAAUCAAGAGAUACAGUAAUAAAACAAGUACAAUAUCACAUAUUAAUUCACCCCAAACUAAUAACAGGUACAUUCAUGAGCAUAAUAUCCACAUCAUUUAUUAUUAACAUUGCAUCAUCCAAACGAACAAAUACAAUCGUAUACAGAUUUAUCAGUACAAUAUAUACCCCGUUAAUAACAUUAUUUCAAUGAAUUAUCAGGAGAUACAAUGUAUCAUUUAUCUGUAUAAAACAUUAAUCACACUUAAUUCAAUGCAUACUCAAACAGACCUUAUGCCUUAAUCUAUAUGCCAAUGUAAUGAUUCCGGAAUAUCGCCUCCCCCGCAAGGGCUUUCGUGGGUCCUUCCAAACAACACCAUUCAUUCGAGCUUCCUGGGUCCUUCCAAGCAACACCACUAACUCUAAAUCCCCGCAAGGAUAUGUGGGCUCCAACCAAUUAUGGACGCACCACCACCAAUUAUGAAUGAAUGCAUGAAUAUGAAUGCAUGAAUGUGGACACUUUAAUAAAUCAUCAAUAUAAUGUGAUGCUAAGUUAUUAAUGGCAUUUCACGUAUAACAUUUAUCAUUCACACCUUGAAAAUGUUCAAUACAACCAUUAUAACAACGUAUCACAUUAUCUGUAUUCCUUACACUUUGAAUAUGUUCAACACAACCAUGAAUAUAACAUGUCACACCAUAUUUAUUUUCCAAAUUUUGAUAAAAGCAAUUCAACAUAGUAUAUAUUCAAUCUCACAAUUCUAAAAUAAUUACAAUCACACAUUCCAAAAUAAAUGCAAUCAUACAUUCCAAAAUAAAUACAAUCAUACGUAUAAAUAUAUAAUUGGAGUGAUGCCCCUUACCGAUAUGAGUGUCGUGAUUAAAUUCUCACGCAACGGUCUUUUUGCUCCAAUUGCACUACACUUGAUGAGAUGAAUUACCAACUCCUUCUUGAAUUCCUUCCUUUUCUAUCUUAAACUCUUUUUGCUAUAUCGCACAACGUUUUUUUGAAUGGAAGACGUCCCUUUUUUUCUUUUUUUUAUCACGAAAAUUAAGCCGUGGGAACGUUAAGGCAGGAGUGGGGAACGUUAAGCCAAAAGUGGAGAACGUGGCAUUUCCAUCCAUGAAACAAUUUUUAACGGUUGCUUUUAUUAUUAUUAUUAUUAUUAUUAUUAUUAUUAUUAUUAUUAUUAUUAUUAUUAUUAUUAUCAAAAUUAAAAUAAUAUCGUCAGCAAUUAUUUCUAUUCCCAAAAAUAAAUAUAAAAAUAAGAUAAAAUGACUGGGCGUUACAUUUAACUUAAUUAGACUAACUAUGAUUUAUGUAUCAUAAUUUCAACUAUUCAGCGAUUCAAUCUAAUCUAAAGAGAGUAACUACUACUUAAGAAUCUUAAAUUUGAUUAUCCAACCCCCAAUUCUAACCUUAAUAGUGUUACAACUGAAUAACUUGCACAAUAAGCAACUCACACAAUAGAUGAGAAGUGGUGAGUUAAUGAAAUGUUUUGAAAAUAUUUUCUGAGACUCGGUUAAAAUUUUUUGUCAGAAAAUAAUUUAAUCGAAAUAUUUUAAGACGUCACACAUUACUAUUAAAUUUAUCUAUCAAUUUGACUCAACGAGGGUAGAAAUUUUUACUAAAGUAGAUCUAGAUGUGAUGUGAUGUGAUGUGAUUAUGACUAAGUAUCAUAAAUGAUAAUUGUGAUAUUUUAUAAUUAAACUUAUGUGGUUAAUUUUUGUGGUUAAACUUUUUAGGGGAUUAAUUUGGAAUUGAAAUAGUAAAUUAAUUAAUGGAAGGAGAAAAAACAUUUCGCCAUCCCUACAAAAGAAAUUCAUGGCCAUCAUCAUAUGACUAUCACUUUCUUUAAUUUUUCAAACACAUAUUCUCUCAUUUCUAUUAAAACUCAAACAUUCUUCUUCAUUUUUUAGCAACUUAGAAGCCUCCAAACACAAAACUGCCAACUACAAAGUUAUUUCACUAUUAGAGAUGAUUGCAAAUAAAUAAAGAUCACUAGUUGAGGUGUUCAUUUCUCUCCUCUUUUCCCUCAAACCUGUAAGCAUACAUAUAUAGGGAAAAAAUUGAUUUUUAUUUUAUAUUUUUUAAGCUUUAAUCUUGUUUAUUUAUCACUACUAUGGUUGUUAUUAAUGUUUAGAAAAUUAAAGGAAACAAUUUUAUAUGUAAGCAUGCAUAUAUAGGGGAAAAAUUGAUUUUUAUUUUAUAUGUUUUAAGCUUUAAUCUUACUUGUUUAUCACUACUAUGAUUGUUAUGAAUGUUUAGAAAAUUAAUGGAAACAUUUUUAACUUUUUUUCUUUUAAAAAUAAAAAAAACCUAUGUAAGAGAGUAAAAUGAAAAGUUUUUUUUUUGUUUGCUUUAGUGCUUUGUUAAUAUUGAAAUUAGAGGAGUUAUUAACUUGAAUAACCUAAAGUGAAACCAAACCCCCAAAAAAUUUACUAAGACCAAACUUGGUGUGUCAUAAUGUUAAAGGUUAAUUUUGGUAUGUGUUUGAAUAAUAUAAUAAGUUCUUUUCAACUAGAUGAGUUUGAACUUACAAUAGAAAUUUUAUUAGAGUGGUUUAAGUCAGUAAAAUUAAGAAGACUUUUGCAAAUGUAUUUGGUUACAAUAUUUAUUUAUUUAUUAAAAUGAUAACUAGAUAUUAAGGUGUGCAGGGAUCAAAGUGAUGUAUCAUUUAAAAAAAAAAACUCAAAGUUGUAAAAUGAGGAUUUUGAAGUAAGAGAGUGACCAAUAGAAAGAAAUUGAUUAGUUUUAUUGAGUAAUGCAACCUUGAAGUAAAAUUUAUAAUUCUCUUUGUUUAUAUGUAGUUAGCUCAUUGAGUCUCGAAAAUGAAUCCAGAUUGUUGACACUGAAUUUAUAGUGGCAAAAACUUUGAAUAUUUUAUGUUUGUUGUGUUAAUUUUUUUAAGAAAACUAGUAAAAUAUCUCUCCAUUCGCACGGGUGGCGCAUGUUUAUAUUCUUUUUAAGAUUGUGGUUCAGUGUCAAUGUAAUAUUUGAACUUUAGGAAAAUAUACUCAUUUAGCAUUAUAAUAGAUAUGCAUAAUUGUUCAUGUGGUUCCUUAAAUUAAUUUCAGAUAACAAUUCAGUCAUUUUUUUUUUUCCCAAUUUGGUUAUUUAUUUAAUUUUAAGUAAACAAUUUAAUCUUUUAUGUUUUAAAAUGUUAACAAUGUUAUAUUUUUUUUUUUACAAAAAUUUGAUCAAAAUUUUAAACAUAACUCAUAAAAUUAAUUAUCAUCUUCAAUAUAAUAUAAAUUUUAUCAAAUUUAUAACUCAAAUCUUCAAAUAAACUCAUAUUUUCAUUUUUUAUAUUUUCGAAUUUUUGUAAUAAAAUUAAAUAAAUGACCAAAUCAGAAGAAAAAAAAUAUAUAAAUGACUGAAAUGUAAGUUAAGAGAUCUCAUGAUCAAUUGUGUCUAAUAAAUAUUAUUGAAAAUCGCAAAUAGUAUUCAUCUUGUGAUUUUUAUAUGUAUUAGUGGAAACUAUUUGUAUCUUGUUUUUUUCAAUAUUUAUUCAUAACAAAUAUUUGUUUCGUAUUCUUUUAAUAUUUAUAAGCGACAAAUAUUUGUUACGUGUUUUUUUAUGUAUCAGUGAACAAAUAUUUGUCCCGUAAUUUUUUAAAUUUAUCAUUAUUAAACAUUAGUCAUGUAUUUUUUAUGCAUCAGUUAUAGUUAUUUAUGGAUUAUGUUUUUUAAUAAUUAUCAAUGACAAAUAUUUAUCCCAUAUGUUUUAUGUUUGAAUGUCAAAUAUUUGUCUAGAUUUUUUUUAAAUUAUUAGUAACAAAUAUAUGUAUCUUGUUUUUUUUUUAAUAUUUAUUAGUUACAAAUAUUUCUCAUGCGUUUUUUGUGUGUCAAUAAUAAAUAUUUAUCUCAUAUUUUUUAUGUAUCAAUGAAAAUAUUUAUCUCAUAUUUUUAUAUAUCGAUAUCAAAUAUAUAUCUCGUAUUUUUAUAUAAACUACUUUUUCAUUCUUUAUUAUUAUUAUUAUUGCUUUUUUCUUUUUCCAUUAAUUGAAACUAUAACAUGUGUCAUGUAUUUUUUAUUCUUGAGUUAUAGAUAUAUAUUCAUUAUUUUUUAAUAGUUAUCAAUGACAAAUAUUUAUCUCGUACUUUUUAUGUUUUAUUGUCAAAUAUUUGUUUAUAUUUUUUUUAAAUUAUUAGUGACAAAUACAUAUACCUUAUUUUUUUUAUUAGUUACUAAUAUUGUUUCUCCUGCAUUUUCUAUGUGUCAAUGACAAAUGUUUGUCUCAUAUUUUUUAUGCAUCAGUGAUAUAUAUAUAUAUAUAUAUAUAUAUAUAUAUCUCGUAUUUUUUAUAUAUUGAUAACAUAUAUACAUAUAAUAUUUUUUUAUAAACUAUUUUUUCUAUUUUUUGUCAUCUAUUUUAAAAUAAUUUUUUAACAAAUUAGUAUUUCAUUUAUGCGAGAAAGAGAAAAUUAUUUAAUAAAAUUAGAGUUUUAUUAUUUUAAUUAAUAAUUACGACUACUAUUUUAAUAUUGAAAAAUAUUAUGUUGUUCCUUUCACAAAAAUUGAGCGUUAUUGUUGGUGAAGUUGUGGAGGUAGGAAGAAGUUGUGACUUGUUGUCGCAGUUUUUUUAUUUUUUUUGCAGGUGUUUUUGUUGUUUUAGUGUUUCAACUUCAUUUUGACAGUUUUUUUUUUUAAUAUAGUGUUUUCACUUUAUUUGUGUUUGAAGUAAAUUUUAUAAUUUUUUAUAUUUAUGUAGUUACUAUCUUUAGUCUAAAAAAUAAAUUGAGAUUGUUGACACUGAAUUUUUUGAAAAGAGAUAAAAACAAAAAGAUUAUGGUAAAUUUUUUUAAUUUGUUUUGAAAUAAAGUGGUAAAUGAAUUGAUGUGGUUUGUUUUAACUCAAAAGUAUUUGAGUUGUAGAAAUUUUAUGAACUUUAAAGAAGUUAGAAAAAAAUACUGUUGUGAUUUUAAAUGGUGGUAUAAAUUAAAAAUUUCACUCGUUUUAAAUUUAAAACCAUAUGAGUUGUUGUUCUUGAUUAUUUAAGGUGUUUUAAACUAGAUUUGGAUUUUGAAACUCUUUUGAAAGACUUUGAUGAAUAAAAUGAGUUUUAGUCGAGUUGUAUAUAUGUAGAAAGAGAAUUCAAAGUUUUGUUUUGAUAUUGAUUUUAAGUUGAUUUUGUUAUUGCGGUGUUAAAAGUUUCAUCUAUGGGGUUUUUGAGAAAAUAAGGUUUCCUUAUUUAUAGUUAAAAUCAAAAGUUGUAGUCUUUAAUACUAAAUUCAAUUUUAAUGAAGAGAUUUAACUUUGAAAAACAAAGUUUCAAACUUUAUGACUUUGAGUAUAGUUCAAAGAAAUGUAGCAAAAAAAUAUCGUAUAAAUCAAUAAAUAUUAUUCUUUCUCUUUGACAAUAAAUGUCAUAUUUAUUAAUUAAUUUAUUCAUAUUAAAAAAUAAUUAUAAAAAAAAUAAUUAUAAAAAAAAUAAUUAUAAAAAAAAUAAUUAUAAAAAAAAUGAUUUUAUCAAUUUAUUCAUUCACGUGUUUUUCAUUAUCAUAAGUAUAAAAUUAAAUAUAAUACUUGAAAAUAAUAUACAUAAUGUUAAUUAAAUUUACAAUUAAAAAAUAAAUUACAUUGAAAAUUAAAAAUAACAUACAUUUUGAAAUAACAUGAUUUUAUUAAAAUAACCAUCAUUUUGAAAUCGGAUUAGAUGGAUGGAUUAUAUAUUUUUGUUUAACAAUUUACUUCUUCUAUCUCACAAUGAAUGUAAUUCUAUUAAAAACAAUUGGUUUAAAAUAAAUAUUAUUUUUAAUUUUUAAUACAAUUUUAAUUAUUAUUUUUCUAUAUUACUGUUUAAUAAUUACUAUGUACAUAAUUUACAAAAUAUUAUUAAAUUUUAUAUUGAUAAUAAUAAAAUUUAACCAAUAAUUAAAAUAAGUAAUUUGAUAAAAUAAACUUUUGCCUUUAUAUUUUUUAUUAUUAUAUUUUUUAAUACAUAUACGAAAACUUUAAAGGAGAUUUAUUGUAAAUGGUAAGACUGAGGAAGUAUUUGAUAUAUCAGUAGAUGUGAGAGCAGGUGAAUUGUUUGGUAAAUGCUACCAAGAGGCAUGAAGACUGUGGGUGUCCCCUUUUUCCUUUUUUUUUUUUUUGGUUAUGUGGGUGGCCCUUUUUGUUGUUGGUCUUAUGUGGGUGCCCCCUUUUUUUGUUGGUCUUAUGUGGGUGGCCUCCUUUUCUUUUUUGGAUUAUACAGUGAAGAUGGCAUAACAAUCAACCAGGUAAUCAUUGUUACUAUAAAGAAAAAUAUUUAGGAACAUUUAUUUAACUGUUUUCCGUAUGUUUGUUAAUCUAAAAUAUUAUUUUUGUGAUUGUAAUAAUUUUUUAAAAAAUUAUUUUAAAAAUUUUGUAAUCAAUUAAAUUAAAAACUAUAAGAAAACACUUAAAAAUAUAUUUAAAAAUUAGAUGAAUGAAUCAACGAUGGUCUUGAUUACUUCCAUACGAGCUUGGCCUAUUAAUUGUAUUUAAAAUGCAUUUUUAAUUAGUCAAAGUCAUUAAUUAUAAAAAUUAGAUUUCAACUAUAUUGUAAAUAUUCUUUUAAACACACUUUAAUAAAUCAAACACUUAUCUUACCCAUAAUUUAAAUACACUUAUUUUCACUUAUAUAUUUUUCAAGGAUUUUUGUACUAAAAAACAUGUACAACAUUUUUAAAGAACUAACAACACAUGGCAAUAUAGUUUAUUUCUUGGUGUAAUUACUUGAAUAAAAAUAGAUCAUUACGUCAGAUUUAUUAGUCAAACCCUCAGUUUUUUAACUCGACAGUAGUUUGUAAGGUUAAUUUUUAGAAUAUUACAUGUAUUGAUUUUCUAUAGUUUGCAAUAUUUUGUUUAAGUAAGUUAAUUAUGUAAUUAUACAUCUGUGAAAAUUUAAUUUAGUGGAACUAAUUCAAAUUGCAUUUAAUGUGAAAAUAAUUAAAAUUAGAUCAAUAAAAUUAAAUGUUAACUAAGAGAUAUUAAAUAAAAUAAAUGAUAAGAGUUAUUCUUAGAAUAAGUUAUCUCCACCUUUUAUAUAUAUAUAUAUAUAUAUAUUUUAUGUCAUUUUAAACAUAAUUAAUAUUUUUUUAACUCAAAAUGUAAUUAAUAUUUGUUAUUUUACAAUGUAAACUUUUAAUAUAUUAGUAGUAUGCGUUAUAAUAUGUUAUUUAAAGUAAUAUAAAUAUAUAAUUAUGUAUUUGUAUAAUAUGGAUGAAGAAAUUCAACUCAAAUAACGAUUAAUUAGAUUAAAUUAUAUUUUUUUAGAAGAAAUCACUCAAAAUUAAACUAAAUUCACUUGUUCUAAUUUUUAAUCUUUGGUCAAGUGAUUUUUUAUUUAUCAAAACUCAUUUAAAUUAAAAUGCACACUCUAACGUUAAGGUGUGAUUAUAUUUUGAUCAAUUAAUUAUAUUUUUUGUAUGAUUUUUAAUAUAAAAUAUAUCUUUUAUGAUUAUAAUAAAUUUUGAGAAAAUUAUGAAUUUGAUAAAGUUAUAGUUAAUUAAGUUAUAAAUUAUUUAAAAAUACUUAAACAAAUAGACAUAAAUUUUGUCUUAAUAAAAAUUAACAAAUAACAAAUACCGACUAUUUUUAAUAAAUUAAAUAAAAAAUUGAUCACAAUAUGUUAAUAAAUAUUAUUAAAAAAAAUAAAAUAAAUAAAUAAGUAGAUAAUCAAGAAAUAAUAAACAAAUACUAAUAAUGUGAUAAAUAAAUUUUGAUAUUGGGAGCUGCAAGGUAGUUUUAGAAUACUCGUCGGUGACGUGACAGAGUCAUGCUUUCUCGAAGAACACAUAUGUGGGAGUGGUUAGACGUGGAGCUUUUCUAUUGUUAUAUCACCGCUUUGCCUUUUUUGGGUUAUUUCUGUAAUUGAUUUUGUGGUUUAUUGAUGCUUGAAUUUUACACAAACACUGCUUACUCUGUUAUUUCUUUUAAUUUAUUUAUUUUGUCUCACAAUUAAUGUUGUUUAAAAUUUUUAUAAUAUAUUAAAAAUAUAAUAAUUAAUAAAUAUAAAGUAGUCAUUUUAACAAACUAUCAAUUUUUGCAUUAGAUGAAUUUUUAUACAAUUUAUCAAUAUAAAAUAUAGGUCGGCCUGCGGACCUAAUAGGUUUUUUUAUAAGUGUCUGUUUAAAUAAAUAAGCUUUAAAAAUAGUCUGAGGUUAGUCUUUUUAUUAAAUAGGUCAGACCAUAAGCCCUUGACGGACCGUCUAGUCUAUUCUCAUCUCUAUUUCUAGUGAGAGUUUUGAAAAUACGAGAUAGGUAAGAAACUGUGAUAAGCUUUUGUUGGUGAUUUUAUUAAAAAUCAUAGUAAAAUAUAUUUUAUUAUUUGUUAAUUUCUCAUUCUUUCAUCUUGAGUGCCGAUUGCCAUUGGUGAGUUUUGUUACAAAAAAAAACAAUUAUUUUACAAUUUAUUUGUUUCAUAUGACAUUAAGACCAAUCAAUUAUGUGACCAAAGUUUCGAAAAUGCUUUUAAUUCUUACAUAAUUACCGUAAAAUUUACUUUAAUACCUUUGAUGGUAUGGUUUAAUGUAUUUUUAUAUAAAAGACACUUAACACAAUUGUGAAAAUUCUGAUUUUGAAACCAUAAUAAAAUGCAAUAUUAACACCUAUCAGUUAGGCAAUUUAAGAAUUAAUAUGAUUUAAUGUUAAUGAUAUAUAAAAAGGAAAAAACAAGGAAAUAAAACAGGCGAGUGAUUUUUAUUUUAAAGAUUGAGCAUUCUCAAAAUCAUAAGUGUCUUCAGAAGUAUCAUAUAUUAUUGAGAUUUGGUGGAUUUUCUGUGUAAAGAAGACUUACUCAAAUGUGGAGGGUUGUUUUAUCUUACAGACAAUGAGGGUAAAUAUUUUAUCAAAUUUUAAUUUUUUUAGUUUGUAUUGAUAGUUGCAUUUGCAGUUUGUUCGUGUUCGAUUAUUGCAACAAUAGUUAUAUGCUAGUGUUGGAAAAUGUUCUGACACUCUUUUUAUUAAUUUAUAUAAACACUUUUUAACUUGAAAAUAAGUAAAUUCAAAUACACUCUAAUUAAAUAGAGAUAAAUAAAUAAAUUCAUUAAAACAAAAAAAUUGCUCGGUAUAUAGUAGUAAUCAGGUCCGAUUUGGUGGGUCACCAGAUUCUGGUCAGUUGAUCCUUAUUUUGACUACCUAGUGGUCAUGUUGGACUGACCAAACUAUUAGUACAACUAGUUAUCGAUUUAAUUAGAUUUUUGUACUUUGAUCACGAAUGAGCUACUAGUAAAUAUAUUAUGAAUUUUUUAUUGAGCUUUAAAAUGUGGAACAAUUUGAUUAUUAAUUUGAUUUGAGGUAAUUAGUAUUUUUGCACACACCUAUUUAUAAUAAAUGUUUCAAAAAUUAUGUCGUAUAGGUGAAUCAGCUGAAUCAGAAAUCAAAUAGACUGAUUCAAUCAAAUGUAAGAACAGUAGUCUUAAAAAUUGUGUUAAAAUUGUUAGAAUUAAAGAGAAUCAGACAUAAUUGGUGUUGCAACAUCAAUCCGUCCAAAAAUAUAGUGUUUGAAAACUAAUUUGUUUUUCUUAACUUUUCUUUCUUGCUUCAAACUUUUUAAUUUUUGACUAAUUCUCACUUUAUAUAUAAGAGUUUCAUUAUGAUCUAAGAAUUUGUUUCCCUUGCAACUUUCUCACUUGAUAUUUAAUAAUUUAAGGAAUACUUUUUAAACAUUUGCAAGAAAACCAGAAGUUGAUUUAUGAUCAUUUGUCAUAGUGAAUAUCAAUUUCUUUUUAAGUUAUAAAAAAAUGUUUUUGAUACAAUAUUAAAAAAAGCUUCUCAUAAACCAUUUUAUAUUAUUUUUCAUAUUCACAUUAAAAAAAACUAAAUAAAUAAAUGAAUGAAAUUUUUUAAAUGUGAUUAAUGUUUUUAAAAAAAAUAAUUUUUAUGGAUUGCUUCAACAAAAUGACCCUAAAUCUCAUUUACGGUUAUUAUUAUGAAGGUCAAAGUAUUGGGCUUCAAUUUAUGUUGCUACUUUGUUAUGGGCCUAGUGAAGAAACGACACAGUUAUUUUAUUUUUAGUAUUUGUGCACUCUUUUAUUUUUUAUGGAUUUUACAAUAGAUUAUUUGAAAAAGUACAUAUUUGUUUGACUUUUGAAUUUAUAAAUUAUUAUUAUUGACAUGAACUUUUUAUGAAUGUCAGCAUUAUAUUUAUUAUCUAGAUCAACUAUGAUUGGACCCGGGUGCACUAGUUAAACCACGACCGUAAAUAUACACGACCCCACACUAGAACUCAACACCUCAGUCCUAAGCAUCUCCGCAGGAAUUGGUUGCACCGCCGCCAUAGUAUAAUCACCAACAACAUCAAUAGGAUUUCAAUAUGUGUAUUUAAUCUAUUAAAACGGUAUAUUAAAUGGAUUUUGAGUUGAUUGAGUAAUUUCAAAUUAACAAGUGUAAAAUUAUUAAACAAAUGUUAACUUUAAAUUCAACCUUAAUUUUUAAUUUCUAAUUUGAUUAUAAUUACUAAAUUCGUUUAUUGAAUUAUUACUGAAUUCUCUUUAAUAUUCUUGUCAUAAUUCUUAGUGGCAAAUUCUUUAAUUUCAAAAUAACCUCUAAUUUUUUAAUAGAUUUAACGUCAUACAUACUACAUGUAAAACACAUUGAAUACAAUUUUUUGUAAUGAUUUUAACUAUGCUUUUAGAAAUAAUAUUUUUCUUCAAAUUGAAGUCGACAAACAUUCGAGCAAAACAACCUUUUGAAUAAAUAGAAGUAAGGUGGCCCAACGUGGUGACUACAAGAGUACAUAUUCUCCAUAAGAAGUUUCUAUUAUAAAGUUCUAAAAGGAAUUUUGAAAUAUGAAUCCACACAAUGAGUUUCCGAAAUGUAUUAGCAUUAGUACCAAAAAUAGAACAACAUCUAUGAACAAUGAGACAAUGAACAACAAUUAUUUGAAGUCCUUCAAAUAAGGGAGGGAUGAUUGUAAUCCUUCACAUUAGUAAAAUGCCUCAUCCACCAUUCUAAAUUACUUUAAUUAGCUUAGUAUCCAGUCUAAUAAUUUCGGUAUUUGUUAUUUGAGUUAGAUUUUAAAAAUAUAUAUACGUCUUUUAAAUAAUUGACUAUUGAAAUAUUAUCUUUUAACUAAUUGCUACGUGACAAAUAUUUGUUUUAUAUAUGAUUUAUAUAAAAAAUUAUAAUUAGAGUACUUUUUUUCAAUCUUUUAAUGAAAUAUAUAUUUCUCUUUCACAUAUUUGAUUUGUAAAAAUCGUUUUUUAUACUAAUUGACUAAUAAAAACAAUUUGUCUAGUGUAUGAUUUCUAUUGCAAAUUAUAAUUAGUGUAUUAUAAUUUUUUUCAAAAAAUUAUAUAUAGUAUAUUUAAGAGAUAAACUACUUAAAAAUACAUGUUCAUAUUUUAACUGAUUAACUGUGAAAGAUUGUCUUAUAACAAAGUGAGAAUUGUGAGCAUGAGAACAUAUUUUUCUCGUAUAUACCUUAUAUAGAAUAUUAUAAUUACCGUAUUAUAAUAUUAUUUCAAAUUUUACGUGAAAACUAUUCAAAAGACAUAGUUCUUAUGAAAAACAUAUUUCAAUUUCAAUUAAUUAGAAAAGAAAAUAAAUAAUAAUUAUAAUAAUAAUAAUAAUAAUAAUAAUAAUAAUAAUAAUAAUAAUAAUAAAGAUAUUAAAUAAUUUUUAGUGCUUAUAACAUUGUGAUUGUUGUCCUCAUAAAAAAACAACAUUUUUAAUUUCUAUAAUAAAAAAGAAUCAUAUUGUAUAACGUGAGUUUUAAUUUUGUGAUCCUUGUGAAAAAAAGAUUAUAUUUACUAUGACAAAUAUAUCUUCAGUUAUUGACUUUAUAUAAAAUUAAAAAUAAUCCUCUUUUUUAUUCUUUCGUUAGAAAAUUAGAAUUUAAAAGUAAUAUUUUUUAUUUUGAUAUUAUAAAUUUAUAAAUAACAUAUGUUUAGUUUAAUAUUUGUAUUUUUUGAUAUCUGUAUUUUGUUUGGCAUAAGAUAUUAAAAAUUAGUAAAAAUACGCUUGCCCCUUCAGGAACAUCCGAUAAAAUAAAAAUAUACUGCUUCUCACUUUGUUCCACCAUAACCAUCAAUUUUGCAAAAAAAAAAUAUAUAUAUAUAAAAAAAGUUCAUGUUUAGUUUUCAAUAUAUAUUUAUUAUUUUUAAUUAUAUAAUCUAAUUAAUAUUAUAUGUAUUACUUUCAAAUUAUUAUUUUUUACUCUGUAUCUCAUGUAUUUGUUAUUUUGAAGCAAAGUGAACUUAUUUUAUUUCAUCAAUAAGAGUAGGGAUAAUACAAGCUGGAGGAUGAUUGAAAUAAUCGAGAUUAGACUAAAAUAUUGACACUAUAGCUAAAUUAUGGGCAACCAUAUUAACUUGUCUUUCAAUGGAAGGUAACCAAUAGGUAGAGAUGUCAAUAUGGGAUAGUCCGUUCAGUCCGCUAAAACAUAGGACUUGGACUUAAUAAUUUCAGCUCGAAUUUUUUUAGAGCUUUUGAGUUUGGUUCAAAUAAAUCCAUUACCUAUUUGAGUUAGCCCGUAUAAGUACCGGAUAGCCUACAACCCACAUAAUCAAUUUUAAAAAAAGGAAAAUUUGCCUUAAAAAAUGCUCAAUCAAACAAAAAUUAACUUGGAUUGAAUCCAAUUUUUUUAAGAAUUCACAAAGACAUAAUAAAUCAUAUUUUGAAGGAAAAUGUGACGGCACUAUCAAAGUCUCACUCCACAGGUAAGGUAGUGACUAAUUCUAAUUGUUUCCAAAAUAAUUACAUUCAUUCCAAAUGUGUGAGUCCAACGAUGGCACCAAUCUUAACGUCAACAAUCGUUCACAACAUCAUUCCUUCUUCAUGUUAAUUUUUUCACCGCAACGUCAAUCUUCAUUCAAUUUAUGUUGUCGUCAAUCUAAUUCCAACAUCUCUACGUGUAUUUUCGUCCUUGCGCUGACUUCAUUGUGUCGUCUCAUUGCGUCGUCGAUCUCAUCGUUACUAUUACUCAAGUUCUUUUUGUUAUAUUUUGUUUCAAUUUUCUCCAUUUGACUGUGUUGCUGCUAUGUAAGAUUUUUCUCAUUGCGACUGCGUUCUUGCUAUGGAAAAUUUAAUUAUUACUUGUUCUUUUUGUGUUGUUGCUCAAUCUAUGACAAAUUUUUACUUGUGCUCUUUUUAAUGUGUACAUAUGUAUUUAUUCUUUAUGAAAUCUAUUACUAGUGAUCUUUAAAGUAGUUCAUGUUGUUUGUUUAUUUUGAUUUACUAUCUUCGUGUUGUUUGUUUGUUCUAAUUUGAGAUUAUGAUUUUUAGGGAUUAUAGUUUGUAUAUGCUUGCAAUAUGUAAAAUAGUAGUGACAGUGUUGAAAUACUUGAUAAUGAGGCUAAUAAAGCUAAGGAAUCUCAAGCAAUACCAUUAUUAGUUCAAACUCAACCUAAUGUAAUUGUUAUUGAUGACGCUAAUCAAGAAGUGUCUUAUGAACUACAAACUAAAAAAAGUAAGACACUAACCUCUGCAAUUUAGAAAUAUCUUGUAAAAGUUGGUGUUGUAGACGGAAAAGAAAGAUGUAGAUGUAAUGGGUGUGGAAAAUUAUCGAGUUGUGUUUCAGCUAAUGAAACUUCUCAUUUAUGUUGUCAUGUUGAUAAUUAUAAAAAGGUCCAUAAGUAUCAUGAUGUGAAUGAUAUGCUUAUUAGUGCUGAAGGAAAAUUGAAAAAGAAAAUUUGUUACCCUAAAAGUUAAUCGUGAAAUCUUAGCUGAAAUGAUGACACGCACAUUACACCAUUUAAUAUAGUUGAGUGGAGAGUUUUUAGAAAAUAUCAAAAAAAAUUGAAUGAUGAUUGUUCUUUUGUUUCAAGAAAUACUCAUUCCAAAGAUGUUUUGAAAAUUUUUGAAGAUGAAAAACAAAAGUUAAAAUCACAAUUGACUCAAAUUUGUGGGAGAGUUUGCUUGACUUCCGAUUGUUGCACUGCAUGCACCAAUGAAAGUUUUAUUUCUUUAACGGCUCGUUAUGUAGAUGUGAAUUGGAAGUUGCAAAAUCUUAAUUGCAAACUUAGUUUGUGUGUUAUUUUAUUGUGUAUUUUAAUAAUUUAGAAUGUCAUAUUUCGGUUGCACUUGUCUUCUUGAGUCAAAUAUCAAUCGAUAAUUUACAAUCGUUCAAAUUGAUUCAUACUUAAUGUAUAAAUAAUAUACCAUACUUAUUUUUAAAUGAGCAUGAAAAAAAUUUCAAAUUAAAAUAGUCGCAAAAAAUUAAAAAGAUAAUAAAUAAUUAUAGAAAAAAUAUGUGAGUUACCCGCCCAACCCGCAACUCGUCUAGGGUCGGACUCCGAAGAAACUCAUAAUCUCUAGGAAUGACCAUAAAUAGAUUAGGUAACCAGUUUUGAUAAUUCUACCUACAGAUAGCAUCGGACGGAAGGAAGUAAAAAUCAAUGAUACUUUUAUUUAAGAUAGUCUUAAAAAAUACAAUAAUUUUCUUUUGAAGAUAAGAGUUAGUGGUUAUGAGAGAAGUUUACUCCUUAUAGCAUAGCAAACUGACAAUAAUAAAUGAUACUUUAAAAAGAGUAGUUUGUAUUUUUCUAUGAAGUACGGUUUUUAAUAAAUAAUAAUAAAACAUGAUCAUUUAUAAAUCUAUAUAUAAAAAUUACACAAAUACAUAAUGAAUAUAAUUUAAUAAACUUAAUAUUCUCUUUAUUCUAUCAGUACUUUUUUCUUAACUUAUGUAUUAUGAACAAAUGUAAUAAAUUUUAUGGAAUAAUUAGAGUAUUAUUUAAUACCAUCAAAACUAAAACCGUUGAUCAACUACAUUAAUUCGAUAUCCCAGCCGAUUUUAAUUACAUACAAACAAAUUGAUGCAUACUCAUUUUUAAUUUGUCACCAAACACAACAACAUUACCUCAACCUCAGCAAAUUGAAUCAAUGAGAACCUUUUGCAUACAUUGAAUAUAGUCAUCGUAGAAAAAGGCAGAAGACAAAAGUUCAAUUCACCCGAAUAAGAUUUUUCAAAAUUGAAAGAAAACGGCAUAGUGGGAGACAAAGUCUUAAAAAGAAUAAAUUAAUUGUGAUUUUGACAUGUGAAAAAAUGAUGAAGACAUGUAGCCCAAUAGAUAACAGGCAAGUGUAAGGAAUAUAAAGAAGUAUGGGCCAGACUAUUAGCAAAAAGUGUUGUAUAAAUUAGGAAAUAUUACUUUUCAUAAUGAAUAUUAUUUAUAUUAAUUAAUUUACAUAUAUUAAAAAUAAUUAAAAUAAUAUUUAUAAUAUUAUUUAAAGGAUGAAUUAAAAAAUAAAAAAUAAUUUACCCUGCAAAAUAAAAAUAGUGACAAAAUUAGUUUUAUUAAAAUGACCAUCAUUUGAAAAUGGAUUGGAUGGAAUAUUUAUUUUUGUCAAAAAAAUAGGAUGGAUUAUUUGAGAGUGCCCGUAUAUUUGAGACCAGGUGAAUUGUUUGAUUUGACAAAAAACCAAGAGGCAUGCAACGUGUGAGUGGCCCCAGUUUGAUAGAAAAAAUAAUAAAGAAUAAUUGUUAAUUUGAUGAAAAUAUCAAAAUGUUCGGCUAUAGUCAAGAAUAGAUAGCAUAGCAGUCAACCACGUCAUAUCUACAUCGUGAUUUGAGAUUUUCCUUUUAACAAUUUGGCUUUUUUGUUUAAGACAAUAUCAAUGCUGGAUCUCAUCAUCAUCAACAUUUGAAAAUAAUACUAUUGAAUUGAUCCAAUUAAUUUCUGUUUUAUGUCGUCCAACUUCCACCACAUAUCGGAAUCAGAGCACUAGGAUUGUAUAGAAUUGGAUGAAUUUUGACCAAAUUUAGUAUUUGAAUUCAUGAAUUUGAUUUAGAGGAUUGAGGUGGGUUAAGCUGUGUUAAAACGUUGGUCGAAUUUGAUAUGAAUUCUUGACUUUUUAUUUUGAUUAAAUAUGAUAUUUUCUUGUGUCUCUAUUAUAAUAAAAAAAAUAUAUGUAUUUUUUUAGUUUGAAUGGUAGCAAAAGGUAACUCUUUUCAAUAUACAUUCAUUUUUAGAAUUAGUUUUAUAUCCAUAUUUAAUGUGAUGCUAGUAGUAUGUUUGAAAUAAAAUUUUAGUUUUAUGACACUAAAUAAGUUCAUUGUUCUUGGUGAUUUUUAUAAUUAUUGCUUCUUAUGUAGGCACCUAAGGCAAAGUAAGCCUCGUUUUAUUUCAAUUCAUUUUGUGUAUAUAAUCAAAUAGCAAAAUAUUUAUGCAUUAAUAUGAGUCAGUACGAAUUAUGCAAGAUUGAUUACUAUAUAAAUGUAAAUAAUAUAAAAAUAAAUUAAAAAAUAUAUUCAUCAAUUAAAUGUAAAAAAAUUAAAUGUCAAUUAAUGUACUAAAAAAUUAGGUCGUAAGUAUUUUCGAUUUUAAAAACAAUUUGCAAAUAAGAUUGAGACAUAGUGAAUAUUUUAAUAAGUAUGAAUAUGGUUAUGAAGACACUAACCAACAAUGGUUUAACUCACUAUCACAUGAGUUUAGAUUAACUAUAGUUGGAGCACAUUUUUAGUUAUCCAAAGUAAUGGAUUAUAAGAAUUAGGUUUCAAUCUUUUGUUUAUAAAUAUCAAUUGUAAAUAUUCUUUUUGGAACAUUAUAAUCAAUCAUACACUUAUUUUAUUUAUAAUUUAACUGCACUUUACUUUUAUUUACAUUUUUCUAAAGGAUUUUUUUAUUAAAAAAUAUCCACAAAUAUCUCUUAACAUUUUUAGAAUAAUUAAGGAAUCAACUACACAAACCAACAUAGUUUAUUUUUUAUUUUUUGGUGUAGUAGAAAAAUAAAUCAUUGUUUGAGAUUUAUUAGCCAAAUCCUUGGUUAUCUUUCCAACUCGACAAUCCUUUAAAAUGUUAUUUUUUAGUAUAUUAUAUAUGAUAAUUUUCUUUAAUUUAUAAUUUGUUUGAUGUAAUUUAAAUAUAUAAUUAUACAUCCAUAAAAAUUUAAAUUAGUCAAACUAAUUCAAACUAUGCUUAAAGUGAAAAUAAUUAAUAGUUAAAUUAGUAAAAUUCAACGUGAACAAAUAAUUAAUAAACAAAAUAUCUAACAAGUUUAUUCUUAGAAUAAGUUAAUCUUUACCUUAUAUAUAUAUAAUUGUUUUUUACGUCAUUUUAAAUAUAAUUAAUAUUGUUACUUUGCAAUGUUAACUUUAAUUAUAUUAGUAUUAUAUUAUAAUAUGUUACUUAACAUAAUAUAAAUAAAUAAUUAUGUAUUUGUAAAAACUGAAUGAAGAAAUCCAAUUCAAAUAUCAAUUAAUUAGAUUGGAUCAUAUUUUUUUUAGAAUAAAUAAUUUAAAUUAAAUUAAACUCGUACUUUAUUUUUAAUCAAGUGAUUUUCUACAUCAAAACCAACUCAAAUUAAAUAAUGGACACUUACGAUGUGAUCACGUGACAUUAUAACGCGCGUAUAUAACAUAACAAAAAGUAACAUUAACAAAUAACAAGUAUUUAAAAAAAAAAAUGAUCACGUUAUAUUAAUAAAUAUUGAGAAAUUAACAACUCUUACUAAUUAUAAAAUAAAUAAAUAAAUAUAUAAUGUAUAUACUAGUUUUUUAGACAGUAAAUAAUACGAUUAUUUUUGCGUGACAGAGGCAUCCCUGGUGGGUUGUUGACGUGGAUUUUCCGUGUCAUUUUCAAUUGACAAAUUCUCAGAUUCUAUACGCUUGGCUAUUUGGGUUUUCAGAUUUCUUUAUUAUUAUUAACUUUUUCCCUUCUGGCUGCACAAAAAAAAUAACCUUUUUCUCUUUUGGAAUACUCCUAAGUCGUGACUCGUGAGAGAGGCAUGCGUUGGAAACAAUUGGGAAGCACAUGUCUUAGACUUGGAGCAUUUCUAUUGGCCAAUCAUCCACAUAUGUCCACACUUUUUCUUUGGAUUUGUAAAUGUUUCACUCAAAAGUGGAAUAGCUGACACAAGCGUCAUAUAAUCUUUUUUGGGUUCCUUGCUUUAAAUUUAAUUGAUGGUUUGAAUUUUAGGUAACACUCAUCACCUACGCAUAUACUUCUAAAUUAUUUUAUGGGUCAUUGCUAAUAAAUGCUCUAAUCAUACUUGCUAUAAACAAUUAAAAGAUAAAAUUUUGUUAUAUAAAAUAAAUAAAUUUUAAACUUUAAAAAGUGAAAAACACAAAUUUUAUGUAAUUUUUUUUAUAAACUUUUAUAUUUAAAUUACUAAUAAGUAAUGUUUCAAGUAAAAUUUAAUAAUUUUACACAAUAUUUUGCUUUUAUUUCAUUAACAGAUAUCAUAGCAAUAGUGAUUAGCAUUAUAUAUAUGUCUUCAAAGUUUCUAUUCGUUGGACCAAUCUCUAAUUUCAUUAUUUGAUCAAGACUUUGUCCCUUUCUCAAUAUAAAUUGUUUCACAUAUUCAAAGUUAGGUUCUCCUUUUUUAAUCCUCUUAUUUUUUAAAUAAUUUAUUAUAAUAAUUUAAAGUUCAAUUAGCAGAUCAUAAAUUUAAUAAAAAAAAUAUUUUUACUAAAAUUCAAACUAUAAUUAUAAAAAAAAAGAUUCAUAAUUAAAAUUAAUUAAUUAAUCGUUCCCCACAUAAAAUUUUUCAAAAUAUAGAGAACCAAACGUUGAAAAAUACACAUUAUUCCCUCUUUCCCUUCCUUUCUUUUUCUUUUAUGAUAAUCUAUGCAACCAAAUACGUUUAGUUUACUGUACAUAAAACGGCCGACUUCUAGUCUAUAUGGGCCCAUAAAAAAACGAAAUUUUCUUCCUAUAAAAUAUAAUAUUUCACAAGGACACGAUCACUUGCUUAGAAAAGAAGCAAAUUAAUACUACACUAUAUACUCUUCCGAACUACACACCAAUUACAACGUUAGACAUAUACUUAUUACUUUGACUUAAUUAUAAUUUGAGUAUAUAUAUUCAAUUUUGAUCCAUAAAGUUUUUUCGAGCAAUUUUACUCUUUCAUUUUAAAAAUUAGAUAAAUAUAGAUAAUCCAAAAAUUGUUUUUUAUUAAAAUAUUUUAGACUAAAUGUUAUGUUUGAGAUAUAAAUUAAAAUUAAAAAUUUUAAAAGCAAAAUUUUUGAUAUAAUUUUUUUAAGAAUUUUUCAUAAGGUGAGAUUAGGAUUUCAAGAUAAGUAAGAUUGAGAUUUUCAAUGUUUAGUUAAAUUUGAUAUUUUAAUUGGUAAAUAUUAAAUGAAAUAAAGUUUAAAACAAUUUAAUCCAUUUGAAUUGUGAAUUUUUUUCAAUAGAAUUUGAGAGUUUUGAACAAAUAAAAAGGGAUGAAGGGACUUGAUUGAAACAACUAAAGCCUUUGAGGGAUUAGAAUGGAUCAAAAAAUUAGAGGGAUUAAAGUCAUACAUAGAUCAAACUAGAAGAAAGUCCAAAACGAAACAAAAUCCGGAUCCCCUGCCAAAACCAAAUUACACUUCAUUAAAUUUUUCGAAUCCGUAGCUAAAAACUCGCCACUGCGUAACAAAAAAGCGAACCGAAAAUAAACACCACCCUACACACCAAAAAACCAGCGACAAACAAAAAAAGAAUUACAAUUUUGCAAAAGAAAAUAUUCAGAUUUAUUUUUCAGUAUUUUUUUUCCAAAUUCAUUUUCUUUUUACAUAUGUGAGAAGUUUUCUUGUUUCACACAAUUCCUCAUCCCUAUUAACUCAGUGGGAUUUUUCUGCUACAGCUGCCGAGUCAACUCGUGAGUAACAAAUUUCAAUUUUUUUUCUUAUAUGGCUUGUCUUUAUUUCAGUUUUUCACUAACCCCAUUAAUUCAUUUUAUUUUUUUGCGUAGUUUUGUAGCAUUUCUAAAUUGCGGGUAUUAUAAUGUUUUUGUGUGUGUUUAGUGAAGUGUUUAUGUUAUUUUGUUAGUGCAUGUAAGGAUUAAGUAUCUAAAGUAAAAAUGCCAAAUUAAGUAUUGCUUUGUCAUUCCAAUUCCAAUGCAUCAUUAAUUACAUUUCUCCAUUUUAACUCUUAUUAGUUAUAUUAUAUACAAGAUAUGUUGUUUUUAUUGCAAAUUUUCAUUGACCAAGUACAUUGUUAAGCAUGCAUUUAUUAACAAACAUGGUUAAUUUAGUAAAUUUAUUUGAUUAAUCAUAUCAAUUAGACUUUUAGUACACGUUCAAACUCUGACUACAUAAUUUGAGAAUUUAUGAUAUUAAAUAUUGAAGACAAACGCAAUAUUCAUGUGAUACUCUUGUCUCUUUAUCUACAUUUGAUUUUAAUGAAACUUUUGAAGUAUUCUCAAUUUUUACUUAUGUCAAAAUGUUGUUAGUGUACAUUAGCUGGACCAAGAGCAGCUGGGUGUAGUUUGGUUAAUUAAUUGGUCGAAAACAAGACGCGUGUUCUGAUCUACUCAGCUAAUCAAUCACGAUCUUACACUUAGCAGCACCAUUAGGAUAACAUUUUUAUAAUAUAAAUAUGUCGUUAAUCUAUCCUAGUUGAUAGGAGUAAUGUUUGGAAAUUAUUCCGUUCCACUAACCGCCCAUUUAAAUAUUUGGUUUUCUAAGUUGUCGUUCGGAAAAAUGAAAAGUCUUGCCUUCAAUCUUCUUUACUUCAAAACCUUAUCUUCACUUCUUUUCUUUCUUCGACUUUCUUCACUCGUUCAAAUAGUAAAGCAUUAGUAAGGAGUAAUUAUAUCUUAUAAUUUCUUUUAAGAUAUAAAAAUUAAAUUAGUAAUUUGAAAAAUGUUUAAGUCCAUACUCAACCAAACAAAAUUAACAAAAUUUAUGUAUAAAAAUUUGUGCAUUUAAUUUUUUUUAAAUUAAUUUUUUUUUCAAUACAAAAUUAUAUUUUUUAUUUAUAAUAACAAAUGCCAAAUAAGACCUUAAUUUAAAUAUAAUUUUCAUAAUUUAAAAUUGAUUAUUGAUAUCUCAACCAAACUAUUAUAUUUCAUUUUACAUAGUGCUAUUAGUGUUAUCUUAAAAAAAUGUCAUAUUUAAGUAUUUUUUAAUUAAAUAUAUUAUUUUCUAUUGUAACUUAUGUAAUUCUAUAAUAUAAAAAAAGUACAUAACUGUUUUCAUAGUAUAAAAAUUUAAUUUAAUUUUUUUUAUAAAUAUUUUUAAAUAAGUAUCACAAAUUUCUAAAAGAUUAAUUUAAUUAAAUCAAACCAAAUCAACAUAUUUUUGAUAUGUUUAGUUUAAAUAUUAUGCGAAAAAUUGAAAGAAAAAAAAAUCAAGCAAAAAUAAAUAUUAUAUACAUAGCUCAAUCUCUUGCAAAUUUAUGCAUUUUCUUAAUAUGAACUCCCCUUGAUUUUUAGUUGCAUUUGCAAAUUCCCUUACGUGUUUAUAUAAUAAAUUUACAUUUUAAAAUUUCAAUACACAAUUAUAUAUUAUGUUUAAUAUUUUAAUUAAAUAUUAAAAAAUGGAUGACUGCAAUAUCUUUUUGAAGGUCUGCCACCAGCGACAGAAUGCGACCUGCGGCAAUAACCACAAGAGGUAGUUUGAUUUGAUGUAGUAAUAGUUCCGAAUCACAAGUUAGGUUCACAUUAAAAUCAAAUUUACAUAAUAAAUUAAUCUGAACCGUGGAUCUAGAUCGAACGGUCAAGACUGAGUAGUAAGUGGUGCACUGUCAAGUACAAAUCAGCAGUGAAUAGUGAUGAUGUAAAUGAUAUAUCAUAUCACCUAUAAAUAGUAGCAAACCCACCCACCCGAAUAUUACGAACCAAAAAACUAUGGAUAGAGAGUCGAUGGUUGUUUACACCAUCGGAGCCAUUGUGGUGCUAUUUCUCCUCACCUAUUCACCAAACAACAACAAUCACUCCACCCCCCACCACCGCCUCUUUCUCCACCGUGAUGAAAACCAAGAAUCGAACACUAACCAUUCACACACAUCUGAAGAGUGGGACGAAAACUUAAAUGUAACUGACACGAUUGUCCGUAUAUUCCCGGAAAUCGAUGCGGACCCCACAGAUCAGUUUGUGGACCUCCACGAAUUAACUGAAUGGAACUUCGAGCAAGUUCAAAGAGAAGUAUUGCAUCGAAGUCAGAGAGAAAUGAACAUUCACGACAAGAACCACGACGGUUAUCUUUCCUUCUCCGAAUACGGUCCUCCAACGCCAGGUGCUCCUCUUUCAACUUUCACUCUACUUUUCUUCUUUCACCAUUUUUUUCUUUUUUCUUUUUUUCCUGUAAAUCAGCUUUUUGGUUUAAUCUAAGUUGAGUAUGCGUUAUGAACUUCUCACCGUUCACUUUAACUGUUUUUCAAUCGAUUCUAUGGUGUCACCGGCGAAAAUAUCCAAACACAUUUUAUUGCUUAAAGAAAUCUUUAACUAUAGAUCCACACACCGGAAGCGCCACAAACCUCCGCGCCGGAGUUCCACUUCCUUCAUUUCACGCCGCCGUGAGAAAACUUUUUUCGCCGCCGGCGAAUCUUCCUCCUCAAACCCAGCAGUGACCGGAGAUCACACCACGAUACGCGAAACCUCGCUGUGGAGUUUUGAAUUGCGUUUCAGAAAUCUUAUUACUUUCCUUCGUAAAUACGAAUGUUUUAAGCUUCCGUGGAUGGAACGGCCGCAACCGUUGACAAGGGGUUUUAGGUUUUUUUUAUUUUAUUUGUUGGGGUAAGUUUCACAAUUUUCGAUUUUUCAAGUUACUUUCUUUUGAAUAAUAAAUUUGAAGAUUUUAUUUUUAUCUAAAAAAGGGAAUUUUAUGAGUUAUUCUUUUGUGAUAUGUAGUAUACCGAGCCCCACCUUCAUAGUUAACUUUAUAAAUUUGCAAUUUUGUUUUGAUAGUUACAGUUUCAUUUCAAAUCAUCGGUGUAGGUUAAUUAAACAUGAUUUGGUGAAGUUGUAGUGUGAGCCAACCGAUCUUAGAUUGAUGGCCAAGAUUAAUCGCAUUUUUGUUUCUUUUGAACCUUUAUUCUUGUGUAUUGAAUUGAAUGCUGUAAAUCUUAAUACUAGUUUGUCUUUUUCAUUCAUCAGAUGGUUCUUUUGGUUAUGAUUCGAGGUUGUCGGAAGAGGAACAUUUUAAUGCAUCCGACGCAGACGGAGAUGGUUUUCUAAACUUAGCCGAGUUCAAUGAGUGAGCUUCUUUCUACUAAUAGCUUGUUAGGAAACCCUGUUAGUGUUGCUGCACAUGCAGAUCUAAUCUAGCUACUGUGCUUUUCCUAUUUAUAUAUGCUAAUUUGUUACUAUUCUUGUAGCUUUCUUCAUCCUGCUGACAGCAACAGCGCAAAGAUUAAAGAAUGGCUUUCCAAAAUGGAUGUCAGGUAACUAUUUUCAUGCAAACAAAACUUGCAUCAUAUUGGGCAUGUUUCUUUCAGAAUAACAUCUGUUUGUUUGGAAACGAAAAUUGGGGGAUGCCUCCAAGAAAUAUAAAUGAAUAAUCUUUUUUUACUUCUGUAGAUAGAUGGUAAUUGUUUGUAGAGCUAUACAAGGUUCUUUUCUCUUACAUCCACAUGAUAUUAGACACUAGUGUUUAAUACAGGAGUAUCUAAGAGAGGUUUGGUAUAAAGUUUCAAUUGAAUGAUGCAACUACUCAUUUAUAGAAGUUGGUAAAGCUUUUUACUUAAGCAUCUUAGAUUCACACAAGAUACUUGCGAUCUGUGGGAUUGUUUGUUUGGCAUAUACCUUAAUGACAAAUCUUGUAACCGAGUACCAAAAACAAGCAUCUAGCUCAGUUAUGUAGCUUUUCAGGGAAUCCUAAACAUCUGAAUGAAGUGUUGCUGAAUAUGUUACUGUUUUUUGGCCUUUCUUUGUCAUCCUUUU